This 561-nucleotide long non-coding RNA is filed under the name Numida meleagris (helmeted guineafowl). RNAcentral's name for it is "lncRNA (ENSNMEG00000008723.1)". Lineage: Eukaryota; Metazoa; Chordata; Aves; Galliformes; Numididae. The record is from RNAcentral.
ACUGUCAAUCUUUUGUGAGAAACCCAUAAGAGCAGAAGAUGGGUCGCUCAGCAGCAGUACCUGGAUUUGGGAACUCAUUACUGGUGGAGAUUAGGAUGACCACAAAUCUCUCUGGCUUUAAAGCAAAGCAAAGCGAAAAACUUACUUCCUUGGCUUAGUUCUCACUUUUUCAUGUUCUCCAGAUGAAGGUGAGAAAGAAGAAGAGAGAGGAAAGAAGCAAAGGAAAAAGGAAGACUGAGAGAAGAAAGCAAACAGAGGGAAGAGAUGGGAAGAUGGUAGACAAUGCCCUUAGAAGGACCCUCACUGAGAGGUUGAACAUUCGUACAUUCUGGAGACAACAGGAUAUUUUUCACUUAUCUAACUGUAGUUAAAUCAAGAAGUCAUGCUGAGCAGCAGUGUUUUCUUCAUGCAAAGAGAUGGUGAAAUUCAAGGUUUUACUUUUUCCAGCAGUGAAUCAGCAUAUUUGUCAGGCUCUGGGAGCUUACACAAAAAGUAAGUUUAGCAUCUUAAUAAUGUUCCUGUCUGUCCAUCCUAUCACAAAUUUUUGUUCAAUUUUCUCUU